Molecule: small nucleolar RNA, 213 nt
Organism: Nannospalax galili (Upper Galilee mountains blind mole rat)
Lineage: Eukaryota; Metazoa; Chordata; Mammalia; Rodentia; Spalacidae
Source: Ensembl
GAUCUCUUUGAGUUCAAGGCUGGCCUGGCCUACAUAGCAGGUUCCAGGCCAGCUGGGGCUACAGGGAGAUCCUAUCUCAAAACAAAAAUAACUGGCCUUGACUUCAUGUCUGCUGUCAUGGCAGUUCCUGGCAGCACCCUGCAGGGAGGCCCAGAGGGGGUGGCCAAAGUGUGGCUAGGCUUGAGCUAUGUGAACAAAACCUUGCAUCUGAGC